This 663-nucleotide ribosomal RNA is filed under the name uncultured bacterium. RNAcentral describes it as "bacterial SSU rRNA". It matches the Rfam family "Bacterial small subunit ribosomal RNA", at positions 51 to 706 of the family's 1533-position model. The record is from RNAcentral.
ACCCAUUGCAAGUCGAGGGGCAUCACGAAUUAGCAAUAGUUUGGUGGCGACCGGCGCACGGGUGCGUAACACGUAUACAACCUACCUUCAAUUGGGGGAUAACCUGGAGAAAUUCGGACUAAUAUCCCAUAGCAAACAGAGGAGGCAUCUUUUUUGUUUUAAAGAUUUAUUGAUUGGAGAUGGGUAUGCGCAGGAUUAGCUAGUUGGUAAGGUAACGGCUUACCAAGGCGACGAUCCUUAGGGGUUCUGAGAGGAAGGUCCCCCACACUGGUACUGAGACACGGACCAGACUCCUACGGGAGGCAGCAGUGAGGAAUAUUGGUCAAUGGUCGAGAGACUGAACCAGCCAAGUCGCGUGAAGGAAGACGGCUCUAUGAGUUGUAAACUUCUUUUGUACAGGAGUAAAGUGAGACACGUGUGUUUUAUUGCAAGUACUGUACGAAUAAGCAUCGGCUAACUCCGUGCCAGCAGCCGCGGUAAUACGGAGGAUGCAAGCGUUAUCCGGAUUUAUUGGGUUUAAAGGGUGCGUAGGCGGUAUUACAAGUCAGGGGUGAAAUCUUGGUGCUUAACAUUAAAAUUGCCUUUGAAACUGUGGUACUUGAGUGUAAAAGAGGUAGGCGGAAUGUGUUGUGUAGCGGUGAAAUGCAUAGAUAUAACACAGAA